UUAUUUUUUUGCAGUUAUCUUGUUACGCAUGAUGGUAUAUUUUGACAUUGUACAGACAGAUAUACUACGCAUUAGGCAGUAUAGGAAAUAAUGAGAAAUCCGGCGAGAGGAUGAUCGUCGAUUAAUCGCCUCCAAGUGAGAGCGCCUGAACAAUGCGCGGGUCGGCCUUGCUGCCCUCACGGAAUUCCUCGAGGGUGAGACGGUCGUCAUGGUUCUUGUCCAUCUGGUCGAAGAUUUUGUCGACGCGUUUCUGCGGAGUGUUCUCGUCUUCCGGCUGUGGUGUUUGCCCCUGAAAAAAUAUAUAAAUUCCUUUUAUAUAAUAAACAUAACACAACAA
Molecule: long non-coding RNA, 337 nt
Organism: Nymphalis io (European peacock)
Lineage: Eukaryota; Metazoa; Arthropoda; Insecta; Lepidoptera; Nymphalidae
Exons: 2
Source: RefSeq, a predicted model, not a curated record